Molecule: ribosomal RNA, 25 nt
Filed under: uncultured Synechocystis sp.
Lineage: Bacteria; Bacillati; Cyanobacteriota; Cyanophyceae; Synechococcales; Merismopediaceae
Description: partial 23S ribosomal RNA
Source: RNAcentral
GAUCGAGCUACAAAGAGCUAACGGU